UUUGCAGGACAUCAAGAAAGCAGAUCAUGAUGAUUGGGAGAAUGGGUUGACAGCAAUGGAGUGUGCUUUGCACCUGGAAAAGAAUGUGAACCAGUCACUCCUUGACCUGCACAUGCUGGCAACUAACAAGAAUGACCCUCAUUUGUGUGACUUCAUUGAUGUAAUGAUCGGAAGAGCGUGUG
Chelonia mydas (Green sea turtle) is the source of this 182-nucleotide long non-coding RNA. RefSeq lists it as uncharacterized. NCBI's taxonomy places the organism in Eukaryota, Metazoa, Chordata, Testudines, Cheloniidae. The transcript has 3 exons. The record is from RefSeq and is a predicted model, not a curated record.